GAUGAACGCUGGCGGCGUGCCUAACACAUGCAAGUCGAACGGAGAUUAUUCGCUGCGGAGCCUUCGGGCGAAGCUUGAAUGAUCUUAGUGGCGGACGGGUGAGUAACGCGUGGGCAACCUGCCUUGCACAGGGGGAUAGCAGUUGGAAACGACUGGUAAUACCGCAUAUCUUAGAGAGACCGCAUGAUCUUUUUAAGAAAACGUUAGUGGUGCAAGAUGGGCCCGCGUCCGAUUAGAUAGUUGGUGGGGUAACGGCCUACCAAGUCGACGAUCGGUAGCCGACCUAAGAGGGCGGACGGCCACAUUGGGACUGAGACACGGCCCAGACUCCUACGGGAGGCAGCAGUGGGGAAUAUUGCACAAUGGAGGGAACUCUGAUGCAGCGACGCCGCGUGAGUGAAGAAGUAUUUCGGUAUGUAAAGCUCUAUCAGUAGGGAAGAUAAUGACGGUACCUACAUAAGAAGCCCCGGCUAAAUACGUGCCAGCAGCCGCGGUAAUACGUAUGGGGCAAGCGUUAUCCGGAUUUACUGGGUGUAAAGGGAGCGUAGGCGGCAGUACAAGUCGGGAGUGAAAACUCGGGGCUCAACCCCGAGACUGCUCUCGAAACUGUACAGCUAGAGUGCAGGAAGGGGCAGGCGGAAUUCCUGGUGUAGCGGUGAUAUGCGUAGAUAUCAUGAGGAACACCGGUGGCGAAGGCGGCCUGCUGGACUGUAACUGACGCUGAGGCUCGAAAGCGUGGGGAGCGAACAGG
RNAcentral lists this ribosomal RNA (751 nucleotides) under uncultured Eubacteriales bacterium. Its description in RNAcentral is "bacterial SSU rRNA". It matches the Rfam family "Bacterial small subunit ribosomal RNA", at positions 28 to 776 of the family's 1533-position model. Lineage: Bacteria; Bacillati; Bacillota; Clostridia; Eubacteriales. The record is from RNAcentral.